GACGAACGCUGGCGGCGUGCUUAACACAUGCAAGUCGAACGGAAAGGCCCUGCUUUUGUGGGGUGCUCGAGUGGCGAACGGGUGAGUAACACGUGAGUAACCUGCCCUUGACUUUGGGAUAACUUCAGGAAACUGGGGCUAAUACCGGAUAGGAGCUCCUGCUGCAUGGUGGGGGUUGGAAAGUUUCGGCGGUUGGGGAUGGACUCGCGGCUUAUCAGCUUGUUGGUGGGGUAGUGGCUUACCAAGGCUUUGACGGGUAGCCGGCCUGAGAGGGUGACCGGCCACAUUGGGACUGAGAUACGGCCCAGACUCCUACGGGAGGCAGCAGUGGGGAAUAUUGCACAAUGGGCGGAGGCCUGAUGCAGCAACGCAGCGUGCGGGAUGACGGCCUUCGGGUUGUAAACCGCUUUCGCCUGUGACGAAGCGUGAGUGACGGUAAUGGGUAAAGAAGCACCGGCUAACUACGUG
RNAcentral lists this ribosomal RNA (468 nucleotides) under uncultured bacterium. RNAcentral describes it as "partial 16S ribosomal RNA". It matches the Rfam family "Bacterial small subunit ribosomal RNA", at positions 28 to 507 of the family's 1533-position model. The record is from RNAcentral.